Molecule: RNA transcript, 1213 nt
Organism: Musca domestica (house fly)
Lineage: Eukaryota; Metazoa; Arthropoda; Insecta; Diptera; Muscidae
Gene name: protein Vhl-like
Exons: 2
Source: RefSeq, a predicted model, not a curated record
UUCUGUUUAAGUUUUUAUUUUAAUCAUGUCAGAAAAGACAAAAAAGACCAUUUUAAAGCAACUUAAGGAACUAAAUGAACGAACAGUCUAUAUAGAUAUAGUGCCGAUAGUUCCUUUAGAUGAAUAGUCCAUCUGAACAAAUUCGUUCCAGAGCAACGCAACUCAAAAGUAGUAUUUAUUUUUUAACUUUAAUGUAAAUAUAAAUGGCACUGGAAUCGCCAGCCCAGCCGCCACCUAGAUUGGCGGCUCAACAUUCAAACGAACAGACACAUGUAUUUUUCCUUAAUACUACGCAACGACAGGUAAAAGCCCUCAACAAGUACAUCUGGAGAACAGCUGACAUGGAAUCCUUUCAAUCUAUGUGGCGUGUACUUUGUAUUUUGAAAUUAGGAUAAAAAAACCUAUAUUUGGAUUUCCUGACAACAACUAAUCCAUAUGAGCUAGACAUUUCUUGUUCUCCUAAUAUAACUAGCUAGAAAAUCCCUACACUAAUGAUAAAGGAUAAAUGUGUCACAAUUUUAAAGUUGACCUUGAUAUUUCUUCAAUAUUAAAAAUCGAGAUGAACAACACAUGAAUGACUGGGUUAAUCUGUACUGGAUGGAUUUCAAUGGUUCCCAAGACUUAUUUACCACCUUGCCGCCAGGGGCUGGUAUAAAAGCAAAUACUUUUGUAACACAUCCAUGGCUAUUUCGUGACGCCCGGACUGGUGAACGCAUGCAUGUGAAGCAUCAGGAUAUAUUUUGGCCACAAUUGUAUCGCGUAAAGAAUGCAGGACAAUGGCUACCAUGCCGAAAGCUAAUAGCAAUACAUCCACCUGUUACACAAAGCCUGCGUACAAGAUGUCUAUGGCGUUUUUCUGAACUAAUUUAUGGUAAAAACGACGAAUUUUUAUUAAGUUUGAAUUUACCUCGAACUUUGUAUAAUGAUGUUAAAUCGGUAUUAUCAUUAAUUGAGAAACACAGGUCUAUUGGCAUGGGCAGACGAAGAAAUAGUUAGCAAUAUGGGCUCGUAGCCACCAUUAAGCCCAUUAGGCAUAUGCACUGAACGACAUUGGGAAAACUUCUGGUGGUAAUAAAAAACUAAUUGAUCAAACACUAGAUGCCAUAUGAACCAACAAUAUCCCAUUGCAAUCGAGAUAACUUCGGUGCACUCAAUUUAAAAUUUGAAUGUGAUUUUGAAUUAAAAAAACCUUUUUACAAUAUUCUUUAAAAAA